Molecule: long non-coding RNA, 374 nt
Filed under: Pogona vitticeps (central bearded dragon)
Lineage: Eukaryota; Metazoa; Chordata; Lepidosauria; Squamata; Agamidae
Description: lncRNA (ENSPVIG00000009537.1)
Source: RNAcentral
ACAUUGACUUCAGUUGCUGGGAACAGAAAGGACCAGGACAGCUCUACCUGCUGAGCCAAAACUGCAGUAAUCCUUCACAGCUACUCCCUUAUAAAAGCAAGGCAUGGCAGGUUUGAGCAAAACAACAAUAGAUUGGGACCUACAGACAGACAGCUGGAGGAUUUCUCAAAAAUCAGCAAAGAUUCUGGAGUCUCCAUUAUUUACAAUAGCAACAAUUGGGUAACUUUCCUACCCCAAAUAUUAAUAGUGGCAAUAAAUCAUUGGCUGUUUUGGAGUCCCACGUUCAAGUUGUUCGGAAUGGAUCCAUGACUUAUGGAUAACACCAAGAAAUUCAUAAACAAAAACACCAAAAUAAAACAAUGCUGAAACUGCCA